AAAUUGAAGAGUUUGAUCAUGGCUCAGAUUGAACGCUGGCGGCAGGCCUAACACAUGCAAGUCGAGCGGUAGCACAGAGAGCUUGCUCUCGGGUGACGAGCGGCGGACGGGUGAGUAAUGUCUGGGAAACUGCCUGAUGGAGGGGGAUAACUACUGGAAACGGUAGCUAAUACCGCAUAACGUCGCAAGACCAAAGUGGGGGACCUUCGGGCCUCAUGCCAUCAGAUGUGCCCAGAUGGGAUUAGCUAGUAGGUGGGGUAAUGGCUCACCUAGGCGACGAUCCCUAGCUGGUCUGAGAGGAUGACCAGCCACACUGGAACUGAGACACGGUCCAGACUCCUACGGGAGGCAGCAGUGGGGAAUAUUGCACAAUGGGCGCAAGCCUGAUGCAGCCAUGCCGCGUGUAUGAAGAAGGCCUUCGGGUUGUAAAGUACUUUCAGCGAGGAGGAAGGCGUUAAGGU
RNAcentral lists this ribosomal RNA (461 nucleotides) under Klebsiella aerogenes. RNAcentral's name for it is "bacterial SSU rRNA". It matches the Rfam family "Bacterial small subunit ribosomal RNA", at positions 1 to 460 of the family's 1533-position model. Lineage: Bacteria; Pseudomonadati; Pseudomonadota; Gammaproteobacteria; Enterobacterales; Enterobacteriaceae. The record is from RNAcentral.